AGCAGAAUGGAGAGAAAGACAAACGUUCAUUUUUCAUUCAGCAAAUACUUGUUGAGCAUCGGCAUGUGUCUGAUACUUACGUGCCGCUGUCUAGCAUUUUCAUCCUGACAACCGAUAGCCACGGAAAACAGGUGUCUAUUAUACACAGCUCCGAGCC
This is a long non-coding RNA of Prionailurus viverrinus (fishing cat), 157 nucleotides long. RefSeq lists it as uncharacterized. The record is from RefSeq and is a predicted model, not a curated record. NCBI's taxonomy places the organism in Eukaryota, Metazoa, Chordata, Mammalia, Carnivora, Felidae. The transcript is spliced from 3 exons.